Molecule: non-coding RNA, 1707 nt
Organism: Dermacentor andersoni
Lineage: Eukaryota; Metazoa; Arthropoda; Arachnida; Ixodida; Ixodidae
Source: RefSeq, a predicted model, not a curated record
CAGAUCCCUGCGAGCAUUUUCAAAAUUCAGUUAUUUUAGACAACAGGCACAUAUGCAAUACUGACAUAAUCUCAAAUACCACUAAGCAGCUGGGACACAUUUUUGUUGACCAUACUCGCAGGUAAAAUAAGUAGAUUAUGUGGACAGCUGCAGCUCAUUUUCCUUAAAUCAGUGUGUACAAGGGGUAUGCAAAAAUAAUUUUUUUCUCGCGCACAGAUUCUUUUGCUGUAUAAGCAAGAGAAGCCACCACGUUAGUGUAACGUAUCUUGUACAUCACACUAAUAAGUGCUUUAAUUUACCAAGUGAGAUGAGUUACUUUUAUGGAUCAUUCAGUCAUAUCACACUGCAAGCUGCAUUCAUCAAUCUUCAAUUGGAUUUCGCAUGAAACAUGUUUCCCUUUUAUGCAGAUAUGCAAUGGCAAGCCCUUCCGUGUGUUCCAAAGGUAAAAUUUAAGCUCGAAAUUAAAGAAGACAUUUCUAGUUAGAAACAAGCAAAAAUGGUGAAUGCAGAGUAUCAGAAGCCCAAGGUACAGAAAUUAUGAGAAGUGUCGAAUGAUUUUAAGGAAAGAAUGGUAUUUGAAGAUGCAAGAUUCUUUAGUGGAAAUCAAGCAAGUCAGUAUAGGUAGAAUACUCUGAGAAAUUAUGCGAGUAAUGGGAUAGCACACAAUGGGUCAGGAAAUGCGUUGUUUUUCUGAAAAACUAAAGCUGAUGACUGUCAUAUCAUGAGUCACUUUAGCAUCAUAAGACUGCUGUUUGAUAAAUUCAGAAACAAACCAAAAAGCAAGUCAUGCAAAAAUAAAAAAUAAAACUAUUUAAUGAUGCUCUCUCCACACUGGGAUAAAUAAUAAGAAACGGAUCACGUCUAAUGUGGACAUAUCAGACACCUUGUGAAACACUAAAGGAAAAAUUCAGUUUCGAGCUAUGGCACUUGCCGCAUAGAUUUGGGGGGCCUUGCACCAAUAGUAAUAGUUACCACUGCAUCUAGAAAUUUAAAGCAUUCAUGCAGACAAGGAUGAUUAUAUUUUUGGCUACCACGUCAAAUGCCUCCACUAAGUGUUACAAUGCUGCAUGCAGCCAUACUAAGGAUCUCACAGCAACACUUGCAGGUAAACAGGAAAAGCAGUUAAAGUGCUGGUGUAUUCUGGACACUGUCUUUGAAAACUUUUAGGCAAGAACAGUGCGAGAAACAGACAUAAGAACUGCAUUUAUUUCUAUAAUUCCCCAUUUGAAUGGCCUUUUCUUUUUCCUUCGACAAUGCCUUCGCCUAGCCACAGCAGCUCCCUCAUACAGACUCCGCAAGCCAAGAGGCCGUGGAGGCAAAUGCAGACAGCCGGCACACCUCGAACAGCCACCUUGACUGCGGGUGUGUCACCCUAGUCGCCAAGGAAACAUUUGAGGGAAAGCGACAGGCAAUGUGAACAGCCACUUUUCCAUGUAAACGAUACUCUUUCUCUCGGAUGACUCCUACGUUUUGCCACGCCAAUACACUUGUGCACAAAGAUGCCGCGGAGGCACGUGCAGGUCAGAGGCAAGAAGCAGUGGCACUGGUGUCAACAUUCGCCCAAUUUCUUUUUCUUACACUGAGGCAGCCAGCACACCUCGAACAGCCACCUUAACUGCGGGUGUGUUAGUAGAUUCCUGAUGUACAUAUGCUCAUAAUAAACUUCAGUAAACUUGAACUUGAUAAUAAACUUGAAGGCAAAUGGGA